Molecule: ribosomal RNA, 497 nt
Filed under: uncultured bacterium
Lineage: Bacteria
Description: partial 16S ribosomal RNA
Rfam family: Bacterial small subunit ribosomal RNA
Source: RNAcentral
GACGAACGCUGGCGGCGUGCCUAAUACAUGCAAGUCGAACGCUGAAGAGAGGAGCUUGCUCUUCUUGGAUGAGUUGCGAACGGGUGAGUAACGCGUAGGUAACCUGCCUGGUAGCGGGGGAUAACUAUUGGAAACGAUAGCUAAUACCGCAUAAAAUUGAUUAUUGCAUGAUAAUUAAUUGAAAGAUGCAACUGCAUCACUACCAGAUGGACCUGCGUUGUAUUAGCUAGUUGGUGAGGUAACGGCUCACCAAGGCGACGAUACAUAGCCGACCUGAGAGGGUGAUCGGCCACACUGGGACUGAGACACGGCCCAGACUCCUACGGGAGGCAGCAGUAGGGAAUCUUCGGCAAUGGGGGGAACCCUGACCGAGCAACGCCGCGUGAGUGAAGAAGGUUUUCGGAUCGUAAAGCUCUGUUGUAAGAGAAGAACGGGUGUGAGAGUGGAAAGUUCACACUGUGACGGUAUCUUACCAGAAAGGGACAGCUAACUACGUG